This 297-nucleotide long non-coding RNA is filed under the name Elaeis guineensis (African oil palm). RNAcentral describes it as "long non-coding RNA (EGUI_LNC082307)". The record is from RNAcentral. Lineage: Eukaryota; Viridiplantae; Streptophyta; Magnoliopsida; Arecales; Arecaceae.
GAUGGAAAAAUAGCAAAAAAAAUACAGUGAAAAAAUAUGAAUGCGCAUGCGGCCGAGCUCGAAGGGUAGCGCCCAAGUGCAGGAUUAUCAAAGCUCUGCCAGACGGGGAUGGUGACGCCGCCGAUGAGACCUAAUCACAUUCCCGGAUCAUGCCCUCACAACUCUGUUGUGCGCUGCCACGAUGCCAUGCGAAAGAGGAGAAAGAAAAGACCUAACGCUAGAUUCAGCAAGAAGGGGACGAGUGGAGAAACCUUGAGCCUCACCCCAGGAGUUGGAGAAAUUUACAAUUUUUUCCUC